CAGGUGGUUGUCAGAUGGUGUAUGAUGGUAUAGGGUGGUUAUACAGGGAAGGGUUGUCAGAUGGUGAAGAUGGUACAGAUGGUGUAUGAUGGUCGAAGUGUGUCAGAUGGUUGUCAGAUGGUGUAUAAUGGUCGAAGUGUGUCAGAUGGUUGUCAGAUGGUGUAUGAUGGUGUAGGGUGGUUAUGCAGGGAAAGCUUGUCAGAUGGUGAAGAUGGAGCAGAUGGUGUAUGAUGGUCGAAGUGUGUCAGAUGGUUGUCAGAUGGUGUAUGAUGGUCGAAGUGUGUCAGAUGGUUGUCAGAUGGUGUAUG
Molecule: non-coding RNA, 308 nt
Organism: Paramuricea clavata
Lineage: Eukaryota; Metazoa; Cnidaria; Anthozoa; Malacalcyonacea; Plexauridae
Source: the annotation of a GenBank genome assembly